CACAAAUCACGAGAUCGUGACCUGAGCCAAAGUUGGACGCUUAACUGAGUGAGCCACCCAAGAGAAUUGCACAAGGACGUCUCAGAAGGCUCCAGCCAGACAACCGUAAUCAUCCUGACGUACCUGGAUUCCUACCGCUUUUGCCUCCAACAGCACAUUUGGAAUAUUUUAUAAAUCUGCCCCAGAGACAAAGAGGAAGCAUUUUGUUGUGAAAAUCUGGCUUUUUGUGAUUGGACCAGAAACAUGGCACACACAUUUAAUUCAAGAAACUAGUAUCGUCUGGUAAAACAUCUCUUAUUUAGUAAAGAUUCAGCGUUUUUACAAAAAAA
Long non-coding RNA from Felis catus (domestic cat), 329 nucleotides. RefSeq lists it as uncharacterized. Lineage: Eukaryota; Metazoa; Chordata; Mammalia; Carnivora; Felidae. The record is from RefSeq and is a predicted model, not a curated record. The transcript has 2 exons.